UACGAAGGGGGCUAGCGUUGCUCGGAAUCACUGGGUUUAAAGGGUGUGUAGGCGGGCUGUUAAGUCAGUGGUGAAAUCUCCGGGCUCAACCCGGAAACUGCCAUUGAUACUAUCAGUCUUGAAUACCGUUGAGGUGGGCGGAAUAUGUCAUGUAGCGGUGAAAUGCAUAGAUAUGACAUAGAACACCGAUUGCGAAGGCAGCUCACUAAACGGUCAUUGACGCUGAGGCACGAAAGCGUGGGGAUCAAACAGG
Molecule: ribosomal RNA, 253 nt
Filed under: uncultured bacterium
Lineage: Bacteria
Description: partial 16S ribosomal RNA
Rfam family: Bacterial small subunit ribosomal RNA
Source: RNAcentral